RNAcentral lists this transfer RNA (76 nucleotides) under Candidatus Dojkabacteria bacterium. Its description in RNAcentral is "tRNA-Arg". It matches the Rfam family "tRNA". From Rfam's summary of the family: Transfer RNA (tRNA) molecules are approximately 80 nucleotides in length. Their secondary structure includes four short double-helical elements and three loops (D, anti-codon, and T loops). Further hydrogen bonds mediate the characteristic L-shaped molecular structure. tRNAs have two regions of fundamental functional importance: the anti-codon, which is responsible for specific mRNA codon recognition, and the 3' end, to which the tRNAs corresponding amino acid is attached (by aminoacyl-tRNA synthetases). tRNAs cope with the degeneracy of the genetic code in two manners: having more than one tRNA (with a specific anti-codon) for a particular amino acid; and 'wobble' base-pairing, i.e. permitting non-standard base-pairing at the 3rd anti-codon position. The record is from RNAcentral.
GUACCUGUAGCUCAACGGAUAGAGCAACUGCCUUCUAAGCAGUAGGUUGUAGGUUCGAUUCCUGCCAGGUACGCCA